Molecule: long non-coding RNA, 1160 nt
Organism: Arvicola amphibius (Eurasian water vole)
Lineage: Eukaryota; Metazoa; Chordata; Mammalia; Rodentia; Cricetidae
Exons: 2
Source: RefSeq, a predicted model, not a curated record
AUGGACAUCCUUUUAUGUUUGGACUAACUGCCCAUGUUAACCUUCCACAUAUGUUACUGACUGGAAGCCCCUCUAUUCCAGAAACUGGGGAACAUAUCAAAAUCACCUGUAUAUUUUUUUCCUCUUUAGUUGUAUAGAUUUCCCCUCCAGAGUUUUAUUACACACAUUAUGGGGCUUUAACCUGUUUCACAUCCUUCAACAUUCACCAUGUAUUAUGAUCCAUGUACUUAGGUUGAUUGUUUUAGUGAUGCUCGAAGGCGUUAGUUGGUUUAGGGGACACAAAAGUCUCUUGGACAUUACAACAUGAAUUAACUCAUCUGGCCUUAAAAGUAAAAAGGGAAAGGGGGAACUGCUGGGCUAGACUGAUCAACUGAGCUUUCCCCUGAGGUCCGGAUGCAGGGAAAAGGAGUAUGCCUCCUUCUCAAAAACUACCAAUAUGAUUGGUAGAGUUGGUUACAGCCUAGGGCCAGGGCUGCAGGGGAGCUAGGACUUCAGAUCCUGAGACCUCAACUCUUCCCACCAUUUGGUUAUCAGUCCCAAGGCUGGCACAUACUCAAUCUGUAAAAUUCUUAAGAUGCCCUUUGCUCCCCUUGUGCAACAUUGUGCUUGAUUCACCGCUUGCUGGCUCUGUCACAUUGUACGAUUGAUUCUACUGACUCUGUCCCUUUUCUCCCCAGGAAAUAGGAUGUAACAUGCUGUACUUAGUACAUUCGCUUGGCAUAAGAUGUAGCCAGUAUAAGACCUCUCAACCCCAAACUUUUUUUUUUACCUUCUCUACCUUCUGUCCUCUUUGCCUCCUGAUCUCUUGGUCCUCUCUCUUAGGACCCUGUCACUGAAGAACAACCUGCAGGUCCAGACCACGGGGUAACCAUUGGAUAAGUAGCUCUCAUCCCUCAUCAAAGAAAGGCGAUGGAGAUCACUUUUUUGCAGCAGAUGGAGACAAUUGCAGAAAUCCACAGCUGGCCAAAACCCAGAGAACAACCGCCCAGGAGGUAUCCAUUGGCAUUUGGCAUGUCUUUGAAUUAUUCUUAAGGAUGUGAGCCAUUCAGAGCAGUGCACCAAGACUCUGUGAACUCUGCUCAGCAUCUUAUGGCACACUGUUGUUUGAAUAGUUUGUGAUGGACAUUUGAACAUUAAAGACUGUAAAAUGUCCCAACUCA